RNAcentral lists this ribosomal RNA (275 nucleotides) under uncultured bacterium. RNAcentral's name for it is "partial 16S ribosomal RNA". It matches the Rfam family "Bacterial small subunit ribosomal RNA", at positions 338 to 628 of the family's 1533-position model. The record is from RNAcentral.
CCUACGGGGGGCUGCAGUUGGGAAUCUUGCACAAUGGGGGAAACCCUGAUGCAGCGACGCCGCGUGGAGGAUGACGGAUCUAGGUCUGUAAACUCCUUUUUCAUGGAAAGACUUAGGACGGUACCAUGAGAAUAAGGACCGGCUAACUACGUGCCAGCAGCCGCGGUAAGACGUAGGGUCCAAGCGUUGUCCGGAUUUACUGGGCGUAAAGAGCGCGUAGGCGGUCUGUUAAGUGUGAAGUGAAAUCUCCAGGGCUCAACCCGGAAACUGCUUCG